GCAGUAGAAUGAGCUCCCAGAAAUGGCUGCUUCCAGUGUCGGGGUCCGCAGAGAAAGCCGCAGCCGCUCUUUACCUCUCCAGGAGACUGUCCAAGAGCAGCAGGAGACCCUGCCAUGGAGAAUGUGAAUUUUCAUCCUUGAAAACAUCCAUCAGAUGCUCAAAGUCCUGGGUUGGGAAGGAGGAGGCUCUAGGCAACCUCUGAGGCCCUUCUGAUACUAAGAUGACAGAGGCUGAAUUCUGGCAACAGCUGUUCUUUCCUUGGAUAUUGUUCCCUGCCUAAAGAAGGAACUCAGCAAAAGGCAGCGAAUUGGAUUUAGAGUCGCAACUUUCAAGAUGUUUAUUCAUCCAUCAUUCCAAGGACUUGAAUUUAUGGUGUGCGUUCCUUACCA
Molecule: long non-coding RNA, 390 nt
Filed under: Sus scrofa (pig)
Lineage: Eukaryota; Metazoa; Chordata; Mammalia; Artiodactyla; Suidae
Description: lncRNA (ENSSSCG00040046672.1, ENSSSCG00050033147.1)
Source: RNAcentral